UGGGGAAUAUUGCGCAAUGGACGAAAGUCUGACGCAGCAACGCCGCGUGAGGGAUGACGGCCUUCGGGUUGUAAACCUCUUUCAGCAGGGACGAAGCGAGAGUGACGGUACCUGCAGAAGAAGGACCGGCCAACUACGUGCCAGCAGCCGCGGUAAUACGUAGGGUCCGAGCGUUGUCCGGAAUUAUUGGGCGUAAAGGGCUCGUAGGCGGUUCGUCACGUCGGGAGUGAAAACUCGGAGCUCAACUCCGAGCCUGCUUCCGAUACGGGCAGACUAGAGGUAGGCAGGGGAGAGCGGAACUCCUGGUGUAGCGGUGGAAUGCGCAGAUAUCAGGAAGAACACCGGUGGCGAAGGCGGCUCUCUGGGCCUUACCUGACGCUGAGGAGCGAAAGCGUGGGUAGCGAACA
This 407-nucleotide ribosomal RNA is filed under the name uncultured bacterium. RNAcentral describes it as "bacterial SSU rRNA". It matches the Rfam family "Bacterial small subunit ribosomal RNA", at positions 355 to 774 of the family's 1533-position model. The record is from RNAcentral.